Long non-coding RNA from Nothoprocta perdicaria, 262 nucleotides. RefSeq lists it as uncharacterized. The transcript has 2 exons. The record is from RefSeq and is a predicted model, not a curated record. Lineage: Eukaryota; Metazoa; Chordata; Aves; Tinamiformes; Tinamidae.
GCCCCGCGCGCCCAUCUCCUCCAUGCCCCCCGAGGAGCCGCUCUCCGGCGCCGAGCAAGCCAUCGCACUCUCCGUGAUGUUUGCCAGCUUCCUCAUCCCRUCUGCCUGGGUCCUGGCAAACCUGGAGCACUACAAGAGCAGACCGGAGUAAGGGAUGGCAGGAAGACUUCAGGAGCCAGUUGCGAGCACAAGUUUGAGUGAAGAUGACAAAACGAAUGUUUCUCUGUUGAAGAAUUCCUUAAGUUUGUUCAUUAAAAUACUG